This 492-nucleotide ribosomal RNA is filed under the name uncultured bacterium. Its description in RNAcentral is "bacterial SSU rRNA". It matches the Rfam family "Bacterial small subunit ribosomal RNA", at positions 28 to 517 of the family's 1533-position model. The record is from RNAcentral.
GAUGAACGCUUGCGGCAGGCUUAACACAUGCAAGUCGAGGGGUAACGAUAUCUUCGGAUAGGCGACGACCGGCGGACGGGUGCGUAACACGUAUGCAACCUACCUUGUACAGGAGGAUAGCCCAGAGAAAUUUGGAUUAAUACUCCAUAGUAUUAUCGAAUCGCAUGAUUUGAUAAUUAAAACUCCGGUGGUACAAGAUGGACAUGCGUCCCAUUAGCUAGUUGGUAAGGUAACGGCUUACCAAGGCAACGAUGGGUAGGGGUUCUGAGAGGAUGAUCCCCCACACUGGUACUGAGACACGGACCAGACUCCUACGGGAGGCAGCAGUGAGGAAUAUUGGUCAAUGGGCGCAAGCCUGAACCAGCCAUGCCGCGUGCAGGAAGACGGCCCUAUGGGUUNUAAACUGCUUUUCNGUAGGAAGAAUAUUAUCUACGUGUAGAUAACUGACGGUACUACAGGAAUAAGGACCGGCUAACUCCGUGCCAGCAGCCG